GGAAGGAUCAUUACUGAGUGAGGGCCCUCAUGGGUCCAACCUCCCACCCGUGUUUAUUUACCUUGUUGCGUUCGGCGGGCCCGCCUUAACUGGCCGCCGGGGGGCUUACGCCCCCGGGCCCGCGCCCGCCGAAGACACCCUCGAACUCUGUCUGAAGAUUGUAGUCUGAGUGAAAAUAUAAAUUAUUUAAAACUUUCAACAACGGAUCUCUUGGUUCCGGCAUCGAUGAAGAACGCAGCGAAAUGCGAUACGUAAUGUGAAUUGCAAAUUCAGUGAAUCAUCGAGUCUUUGAACGCACAUUGCGCCCCCUGGUAUUCCGGGGGGCAUGCCUGUCCGAGCGUCAUUGCUGCCCUCAAGCACGGCUUGUGUGUUGGGCCCCGUCCUCCGAUUCCGGGGGACGGGCCCGAAAGGCAGCGGCGGCACCGCGUCCGGUCCUCGAGCGUAUGGGGCUUUGUCACCCGCUCUGUAGGCCCGGCCGGCGCUUGCCGAUCAACCCAAAUUUUUAUCCAGGUUGACCUCGGAUCAGGUAGGGAUACCCGCUGAACUAAGCAUAU
This 554-nucleotide ribosomal RNA is filed under the name Penicillium sp. 14PA08. Its description in RNAcentral is "eukaryotic LSU rRNA". The stretch from base 191 to 343 matches the Rfam family "5.8S ribosomal RNA". The record is from RNAcentral. Lineage: Eukaryota; Fungi; Ascomycota; Eurotiomycetes; Eurotiales; Aspergillaceae.